CCAACACCACCAAGUCAUGGACAACAGCCACCAUAUUAUUUCAAAUCACCUCCAUAUUACUACAAAUCCCCACCUCCACCUUCUCCAUCGCCACCACCUCCAUAUGUCCACAAAUACCCACCUUAUUACUACAAAUCUCCACCUCCACCAUCUCCCUCACCACCUCCUCCGUAUGUGUACAAGUCCCCACCACCUCCAUCUCCCUCUCCUCCUCCUCCAUAUGUCUACAAGUCACCACCUCCUCCAUCACCUUCACCUCCCCCACCAUAUGUCUAUAAGAGUCCACCACCACCCUCUCCAUCACCACCACCUCCAUAUGUCUACAAGUCUCCUCCUCCACCAACACCCUCACCUCCCCCGCCCUAUGUUUACAAGUCACCACCACCUCCUUCCCCUUCACCUCCUCCUCCAUAUGUCUACAAGUCACCACCUCCUCCAUCUCCUUCACCUCCCCCACCAUAUGUCUAUAAGAGUCCACCACCACCCUCUCCAUCACCACCACCUCCAUAUGUCUACAAGUCUCCUCCUCCACCAUCACCUUCUCCUCCCCCACCCUAUAUUUAUAAGUCGCCACCACCUCCAUCUCCUUCACCUCCUCCUCCAUAUGUCUACAAGUCACCACCUCCACCAUCCCCAUCUCCACCACCACCAUAUGUCUACAAAUCUCCACCCCCACCAUCACCUUCACCCCCUCCACCAUAUGUAUAUAAGUCACCACCUCCUCCAUCUCCCUCUCCUCCCCACCAUAUGUUUACAAGUCACCACCUCCACCGUCUCCAUCCCCACCACCUCCAUACGUUUAUAAGUCACCUCCUCCAGCAUCUCCUUCACCACCUCCUCCAUAUAUCUACAAGUCACCACCACCACCAUCCCCUUCACCACCCCCUCCAUACGUCUAUAAGUCCCCUCCUCCUCCUUCUCCUUCACCCCCUCCUCCAUAUGUUUACAAAUCUCCUCCCCCACCAUCUCCUUCACCUCCUCCACCCUAUGUCCAUAAGUCACCUCCACCUCCUUCAGCUUCACCACCUCCUCCAUACUACUACAAAUCUCCACCUCCACCUUCUCCAUCACCUCCUCCACCAUAUGUCUAUAGGUCACCGCCACCUCCUUCGCCUUCACCACCGCCUCCUUAUAUUUACAAGUCUCCACCAUCUCCAUCACCUCCUCCAUAUCAUCCCUACCUCUACAGCUCACCCCCGCCUCCCAUCUAUUAAGCUUCCGGCUAUCAUUUGAAAUUUUUUCAAUGAAUUAUAUUCAGCAUUGUUGUGGUUAAUUUGUUUUCUAGUGAAUUAAUAGCCUUAUUUUGAUUCAAAUGCAUCUGUGCAUGUAUGGUGUUAAUUCAUAAGUUUGUGUUUAUUUAUCUCCUUUAGUUGUUUUUAAAAAAAAUUAUAUAUUUUUUGUUCGUUUUUACCUUCUUAUCACUAAAAUCGACACAAAAUUAGAUACCAAAAAAUAUUAUUUGAUUAUUUGAAUCUAGUGAAUUCAGAAGAUAAUAUACAUUGAUGAAUCCUAAUAAAUAGCUGUAUAGCAGACCAAAUGAAUAGAGCACCAGUAUGAUUAAUGAAAUUUUCAGGAAUUAAUGAAACCUACAUACUAAUAAAAUGAUGAGUUUAGUAUUCUCUCCUUGGAUGCUAUGUUCUCAAGAAUUACACAGUUUUGAUUGAAUGAUAACUAAAUAAGUAUUAAGUGAGUAACAUGUGAGUUUGGUGGCAUUUAGGGUGGGAAUGGAAAAGAGUUUCCCACCAUAGGAAAGUCUUUAUUGACCAUUAGAUUAAAGAGUAACACUAAUCUUAUUAUGUUCUCUAUACAGUAGAUUUUUUUCCUUUUAUCUUCAAUCUCUCAACUGUGAAAGCAACCCAGAAAAAAACUUACUUUUUAAGCAAAAAUCUUGUUGUAGCAUAAGUACUAUUGGUAUCUUAAAAAUCAACUCACGGGUCUACCCAAAUUUAAUAUCUUUACUUCAUACAUAAAUCAGAAGCAAAUAUCAAAGCAAAUUCAACAUUCAAUUCCAGCAACCCAAGAAUCAAAGCCAUGAAAUCAAAGCAAAAACUUGCUUCCUUGAAACAAGCUCUCACCUCUGCCCUUCUGACAGAUCCCUCAUCUCCGCUGCAAAGCACAACCUCUUGUUUCACCUCUUUGUUUAUUUUUUUGUAGUUUCACUUUUAAAGAUGCACAUAACCUCUUGUUUGAAAUUAAUUAAAAAAGGAAUGAAUAAGCUCUCAACAUACAAACUCAUUUCAUCAAAUUUCGGGUUUUCCAUUCAAACUCAACCUACAAAAUUUAGAAAAUGAAAAUCUGAAAUUUAAUAGCAUUUUCCCUUGGUCUAACUCAUGAUUUUGAGCCAACAAUUUAAUAGCCAUGGCCAUGGAGAUGAGACGUGAUAACAAUUUAAUUGCAGGUCGAGAGGUUGAAGAAAUGGAAGAAAAAAAAAAUACAGUGUGGAGAGAGCAUGAUAAGAUCUUAAAUCUAAUGGUCAAAAACUAUUUUCUUACGGUGGGAAACUCUUUCCUAUUCCCACCCUAAAUGCCACCUGUGAGUUUGUUUGCAAUAACUACAAACAAUAGAACUUCUAAUACUAUAUGCAUGCAGUGUAUGAGUGUGAAAAAUAUAAUAUGCAAUUGAGGUAAUGAAUGAAGAAGCAUAAAUAUAAUUGAAAUCACAAGAAUCAAGCACAAACUAUGCAAGUAAAGAUGGAUACAAACAUAGUUAAAUGUCAAAGUUUGCUUAUACUUAUCAGUAACUAAUGCAAUUUGAAUCAUUGAUUUGAUCAGGUUUUUUUUUGCAAGAACAAAAGGGAUUAUAUUAAUAAUAAGCAAAAGUGUGCAUAAAAGUUUACAACCAAAAUCAUCACCCAUAAUGACACCAACCAAGACGAGAUCAAAUUGCAUUACACAAUUUCCUAACGUAUUUUCCACAACAGCCAGCAUAUUAUGCAGUGUAUCUUCAUUUUACCACUUCAAUUAAGAAAAAUAAAUGAAAUUUUAGCAUUUAGAUCAUUCAAUCAAGAGAGGCAUGUAAUCAGCAUUAUACCCUUAGAACUAGAACAAAAUAUUACAAGUCUCACAAAUCAAAUCAAACAUAACAAACAGACAUGUAAAAAGUGGAGGUUUGUUUAGCAAAUAAUGGCAAUUUUAGUCGCCUAUUUUUACGAGUGGUAGUUUACCGGAAUGCCACAAACCCUGCUGCCAUUAAUAAUAAGCGACGGGCAGUUUACUAUAGAACGCCACAAUACACAUGGUAUAAAAUGGUGGUUAUAACCUCUGCAAUUAUACUGUUGAGAAUAAGUGCAACAUUCUAUAAUACAACAAACCCUGGCUAUUGUCUAGCAACUCUACAAAGUGUCCAAGGAUCCAAUAAAGCUAUUAGACUAUGUUUGGGAAAAGGGAAGGGGAAGAAGGAUAUUCCACAUACUUGAAUAUGAGGUUUACUUUUCUUCAUAAUACAAAAUCUUCCUAAUACGGGAGAACUCAAAAAAUGUACUGCAAGAGGACUUUAGAGAGCUUAAAAAAAAUUAUUCAUAUAAUUUCCAUCUUUAUAUAAUACUCUCAAAAUUAAAACUAAAUAAAAUACAUUAAACAUAAGCAUUUCCUAUUCAAAUAAACUGUGAGAUUUAUCUCUUUCCCUCUCCUCCCUUCCCACCACCACCACCCCCACCCACACACACACACACACACACACACACAAACGCCCUCUCACUUCCCUCCUCUCGAGACUGGCAAAACGGAACAUAACGAACUUGAAAUUUUUAAGAUAAGCCUAUCUAAACUUGCAGUAACAAUGGGAUUAUUAGUAGCCUUGAGCUCAUGACGCUACCUAACCGUUAAAUCAUGAACUGGAGGCUUUCCUACCAUUUUAUUUUUCUAAUCAAUUUAAAUAUCAAGAAUAAGUUAAUAAUUGCUAGGUGUCUGCUUGGUAAGCUUAUAGCUUAUAAGCUCAUAUGAUUAAAAAAGACCUGUUUGGCAAUUAUCAGCUUUGCACGGGCUUAUAUCUUAUUUUCAUGAGUUUAUAGCGGUUUUUUAUAAGCUAAUUCAAGUAGCUUAUAGCUUAUCACCAAACAAGCCUAAAUGAACAAGUAAUUCUAACCAAUGUAAUGCAUCAUAAAAUAAUUGUAGAGAAGAUGAAAGUAACAAAAAUAGAAAAUCAUUUACAUUGACAAUCAUAAGUUCAAAUUUAUUCAAUUAGCCUAAGAUGGGAUGUAAGAAGAAAGAGAAUACGGAAGAACCUGGUAAGGGAUUAAGGCACCGGAAGCCGCAUCGAUCGCUUGAGCAUUGACUGUGCGUGAUUUUUUAUGAAAACCAAUUUAUGCAUAAUUUGAGAAAAUGAAGAUGUUGCAUCAAAACCCUUUCGAAUAAUUGAUUUAUUUGUAUGAUUUAUUGCAUUUAAGGUUUAUGGUGUUACAAAAC
Molecule: long non-coding RNA, 4403 nt
Filed under: Medicago truncatula (barrel medic)
Lineage: Eukaryota; Viridiplantae; Streptophyta; Magnoliopsida; Fabales; Fabaceae
Description: long non-coding RNA (MTRU_LNC001934)
Source: RNAcentral